GGUAGCGUGGCCGAGUGGUCUAAGGCGUUGGAUUUAAGUUUCCGCUUUAGAGCUUGAUUCCCAAUGGGUGUGAACCCGCGCGAGUUCGAACCUCGCCGCUACCA
Molecule: non-coding RNA, 104 nt
Organism: Gymnopilus junonius
Lineage: Eukaryota; Fungi; Basidiomycota; Agaricomycetes; Agaricales; Galerinaceae
Source: the annotation of a GenBank genome assembly